This 272-nucleotide long non-coding RNA is filed under the name Musa acuminata (dwarf banana). Its description in RNAcentral is "long non-coding RNA (MACU_LNC000128)". The record is from RNAcentral. Lineage: Eukaryota; Viridiplantae; Streptophyta; Magnoliopsida; Zingiberales; Musaceae.
GAGAAGGAGACAAACGCAAGCAUCUCUCUCUCUGAUGACCAACACUUUUUCUUCUCACUGUUUGUUCUCUCUCUCUUUUUUUUUGUUUUCGGUCUCGAGAUAUGAAGUGCGGAAACUAAUGAAUGAAUGAAUGAAUGAAUGAAUGAAUGAGCACGAUUAGUUAGCUGUUGCAAGAAGAAGCAUUCUACCUUUCGGAUGAUUAGUCAAAUGGAACAUCGAUACAUCACAUGGGAUUCUUCUGGUCGUUCUCCACAGGGAGAGGGAGAGGNNNN